Molecule: non-coding RNA, 735 nt
Organism: Camelina sativa (false flax)
Lineage: Eukaryota; Viridiplantae; Streptophyta; Magnoliopsida; Brassicales; Brassicaceae
Source: RefSeq, a predicted model, not a curated record
CGGGAAAUAGUCUCUAAAGAAGGCAUAGGAGCUUUAUGGAAAGGAGUUGGUCCUGCCAUGGCCAGAGCUGCAGCACUAACUGCCUCACAACUUGCAACAUAUGAUGAAGCCAAACGGUUUAUUGUAAUUGCAGAUUCUGGUUAAACAAACUUCUUUAGAAGAAGGGUUUCAUCUUCAUUUGUGCACUUGAGGAAUGAAGCUCAAGUGUGGUUGCAGGUGUAGUAAGCACUCUGAUAACCGCGCCCAUGGACAUGAUUAAAACCCGCUUGAUGUUGCAGCAAGGUUCCGAAAGCACCAGAAUCUACAGAAACGGGUUUCACUGCGGUUACAAGGUCGUUCGGAAAGAAGGACCUCUAGCACUUUACAAAGGAGGCUUUGCCAUAUUCGCACGACUCGGGCCACAAACAAUGAUCACGUUCAUACUAUGCGAGAAGCUAAGAUCACUCGCUGGACUUCACACAAUGUAGUCACUAACCGGUUCGUUCCAAGCUAGCCCGGUUCCAGAUAAGUUCUUGUCCAUUCUUUUGUUUUUUUUGAAAAUAAUUCACACUAGAUGAGAUUUUUCUAAUAAAAUGUUUAUUCAUUAUUGAUUUGGUAGUGUUAGAAUUUCUAUCUGCUGUACAAUUUUUCCCAAUUUAUUCUCUAUGAUUUCAUCAUUCUCUCAUUUUAUGACAAGGAAUAGAAAAACCAUAUGAUGUAAUUCAACAUUUUUUCAAUUGAAUUAAGUUUUUGGUA